CACGUAGUUAGCCGUGGCUUGCUCCUUAGUUACCGUCAUUAUUCUUCACUAAGAACAGGAGUUUACAAUCCGAAAACCGUCUUCCUUCACGCGGCGUUGCUGCAUCAGGCUUUCGCCCAUUGUGCAAUAUUCCCCACUGCUGCCUCCCGUAGGAGUCUGGGCCGUGUCUCAGUCCCAAUGUGGCCGUUCAACCUCUCAGUCCGGCUACUGAUCGUCGACUUGGUAGGCCGUUACCCCACAACUAUCUAAUCAGACGCGAGUCCAUCCUUAGGCGCCUCAGCUUUGGUAUAUCUACGAUGCCGUUAAUAUACUUUAUAUGGUAUUACCGUCCGUUUCCAGACGCUAUCCCUUUCCUAAGGGCAGGUUACUCACGCGUUACUCACCCGUCCGCCACUCAGUCAUAUCAGUAUUUCUUUACCGAAAGUAAAUCCAAUCAUUCAAGCUUCGUCGACUUGCAUGUGUUAGGCACGCCGCCAGCGUUCUCUGACGCGAGAUCAAACUCU
Molecule: ribosomal RNA, 503 nt
Filed under: uncultured Oscillospiraceae bacterium
Lineage: Bacteria; Bacillati; Bacillota; Clostridia; Eubacteriales; Oscillospiraceae
Description: partial 16S ribosomal RNA
Source: RNAcentral